Molecule: non-coding RNA, 31 nt
Filed under: Mus musculus (house mouse)
Lineage: Eukaryota; Metazoa; Chordata; Mammalia; Rodentia; Muridae
Source: RNAcentral
UAGAAUUUUGUGAUUCUAUUCCCUCGGCCUU